Regulatory RNA element from Mycoplasma sp. CAG:472, 111 nucleotides. It matches the Rfam family "Ribosomal protein L10 leader". From Rfam's summary of the family: This family is a putative r-protein leader autoregulatory structure found in B. subtilis and other low-GC Gram-positive bacteria. It is located in the 5' untranslated regions of mRNAs encoding ribosomal proteins L10 and L12 (rplJ-rplL). The record is from Rfam. Lineage: Bacteria; Bacillati; Mycoplasmatota; Mollicutes; Mycoplasmatales; Mycoplasmataceae.
AAUUAGAAAAAACGAGAGCCAAAGACAGUAGGCGCCCAAAAGGCUUAAUUUCCUACCGAGGGGAAAGUUAUCUUUUAAAGCUUCCCCAUGGGAAGUUUUUUCUAAAAAUAA